UACGUAGGGGGCAAGCGUUAUCCGGAUUUACUGGGUGUAAAGGGAGCGUAGACGGCAGCGCAAGUCUGGAGUGAAAUGCCGGGGCUCAACCCCGGGACUGCUUUGGAAACUGUGCAGCUAGAGUGCGGGAGAGGUAAGCGGAAUUCCUAGUGUAGCGGUGAAAUGCGUAGAUAUUAGGAGGAACACCAGUGGCGAAGGCGGCUUACUGGACCGUAACUGACGUUGAGGCUCGAAAGCGUGGGGAGCAAACAGG
RNAcentral lists this ribosomal RNA (253 nucleotides) under uncultured bacterium. Its description in RNAcentral is "partial 16S ribosomal RNA". It matches the Rfam family "Bacterial small subunit ribosomal RNA", at positions 524 to 776 of the family's 1533-position model. The record is from RNAcentral.